Molecule: long non-coding RNA, 1092 nt
Organism: Labrus bergylta (ballan wrasse)
Lineage: Eukaryota; Metazoa; Chordata; Actinopteri; Labriformes; Labridae
Source: RefSeq, a predicted model, not a curated record
GUGGCAAAAGUGGCACUGUUCCCUUGAAGAAAGGGGAGGGUAGAUAAGGCAAGAAAAUAAUUGGUGGAUUAAUAUCAAUAUAAAAGAAACCUGAGAGAGAGAAAGAGCAGCAUUCGAGCCAUGAUGAAGACUUUGUGUGUUGGUUUUGUUGUCGUCCUGAGUCUCACCUCAGUGUGCAAGCCUCUGCCAUUGGUCGGUGAAAGGUCAGAGGAUCAAAGUCUAGAUCUGACUGGUUAUUGGUAUGCCAUUGCUGUUGCCUCUGAUGUCUGUUGGCUUAAGACAUUUUUUGGUUCUUCUCUUAAACCAAGUUUUUCACUUGGUUUUUUAAGGGGCACACCAAACCUUUAUGCUACCACCAUCAGGAUGAAAUGGUAUGGACUUUGCCUCCAAAGAACACAAACGUUUUUUGAGAAACAACCAAACGUUUGCUGUUGACAGAAACAAUGACACAAUUGGAAUGCCGGGAUCAACUGUGCUGCUGCAAAUUGGCUGUCCUGACUGCAUAGUUUUAAAAUAUGAAGACUUCUCAAACACUUUGCUUCUCCUCAGUAGGAGAACAAAUAUCACUGCUACUCAGCUGAAGGAGUUUAGGAAACAGGCAGCAUAUUACGGCUUGCCAAACCCUAAUUUGAUCAGCUCAGAUCAUGACUACAAAAAUUGCACUCAAAUGUUACCUGACACACCUGAACCAGAUUUCCUGCUUCAGGAGUACAAUCCCUGGAAAGGUUGGCAAUCGAGUAUACAGAGUGUGUUCUUGAGAGAUUUCCUCAAUAUUCCAGAGAUACCUUUGAUUGGCUUCAGCAUUUUCAAAGGUCUGCUGGAGGACUGCACUAAAGCAUCACUGUAAAAGAUGUUCUACAAUUCACUUAGCAAAUGCUUUUGUCCAAAGAGUAAGUACAACAGUAAUCCAUUCAUACACCUCCACCAAAGCAGCGGGGAUUGAACCCUCAAUCUUCCAGUUGAGAGGCAACGACUCUACCAACUGAACCAUAGCCGCUGAUGUCAUUUCAUAGGUCAUGUCUCGCAAAAAGCAUACAAACUAUUUCAUUAAAUCUACUUAUUUUUCAAUGAUUAUAAGCAAAUAAAUUAAUA